RNAcentral lists this ribosomal RNA (253 nucleotides) under uncultured bacterium. RNAcentral's name for it is "partial 16S ribosomal RNA". It matches the Rfam family "Bacterial small subunit ribosomal RNA", at positions 524 to 776 of the family's 1533-position model. The record is from RNAcentral.
UACGAAGGGGGCUAGCGUUGCUCGGAAUCACUGGGCGUAAAGGGUUCGUAGGCGGGUUUUUAAGUCAGGGGUGAAAUCCUGGAGCUCAACUCCAGAACUGCCUUUGAUACUGAAGAUCUUGAGUCCGGGAGAGGUGAGUGGAACUGCGAGUGUAGAGGUGAAAUUCGUAGAUAUUCGCAAGAACACCAGUGGCGAAGGCGGCUCACUGGCCCGGUACUGACGCUGAGGCACGAAAGCGUGGGGAGCAAACAGG